UUCAGAGGGGACAACAGUUGGAAACGACUGCUAAUACCGCAUACGAUCUAAUCUCGGCAUCGAGGAAAGAUGAAAGGUGGCCUCUACAUGUAAGCUAUCACUGAAGGAGGGGAUUGCGUCUGAUUAGCUAGUUGGAGGGGUAACGGCCCACCAAGGCGAUGAUCAGUAGCCGGUCUGAGAGGAUGAACGGCCACAUUGGGACUGAGACACGGUCCAGACUCCUACGGGAGGCAGCAUG
Molecule: ribosomal RNA, 238 nt
Filed under: uncultured bacterium
Lineage: Bacteria
Description: partial 16S ribosomal RNA
Rfam family: Bacterial small subunit ribosomal RNA
Source: RNAcentral